This 450-nucleotide ribosomal RNA is filed under the name uncultured marine bacterium. Its description in RNAcentral is "bacterial SSU rRNA". It matches the Rfam family "Bacterial small subunit ribosomal RNA", at positions 360 to 804 of the family's 1533-position model. The record is from RNAcentral.
AAUAUUGGACAAUGGGCGCAACCCUGAUCCAUCAAUGCCGCGUGUGUGAAGAAGGCCUGCGGGUUUAAAGCACUUUCAUUAGAGAAGAAAAGCCUACGGUUAAUAACCGUGAGUCUUGACGUUACUUACAGAAGAAGCUCCGGCUAACUCCGUGCCAGCAGCCGCGGUAAUACGGAGGGAGCGAGCGUUAAUCGGAAUUACUGGGCGAAAGCGCGCGUAGGCGGCUUUGUAAGUCGAAUGUAAAAGCCCUGGGCUCAACCUGGGAAUGGCAUUCGAUACUGCAGAACUAGAGUAUGGUAGAGGGAAGUGGAAUUUCCGGUGUAGCGGUGAAAUGCGUAGAUAUCGGAAGGAACACCGGUGGCGAAGGCGACUUCCUGGGCCAAUACUGACGUUGAGGCGCGAAAGCGUGGGUAGCAAACAGGAUAAGAUACCCUGGUAGUCCACGCCGUA